ACUCCUACGGGAGGCAGCAGUAGGGAAUCUUCCACAAUGGACGAAAGUACUGAUGGAGCAACGCCGCGUGAGUGAAGAAGGGUUUCGGCUCGUAAAACUACUGUUGUUAAAGAAGAACAUAUCUGAGAGUAACUGUUCAGGUAUUGACGGUAUUUAACCAGAAAGCCACGGCUAACUACGUGCCAGCAGCCGCGGUAAUACGUAGGUGGCAAGCGUUGUCCGGAUUUAUUGGGCGUAAAGCGAGCGCAGGCGGUUUUUAAGUUCUGAUGUGAAAGCCUUCGGCUCAACCGAAGAAGUGCAUCGGAAACUGGGAAACUUGAGUGCAGAAGAGGACAGUGGAACUCCAUGUGUAGCGGUGAAAUGCGUAGAUAUAUGGAAGAACACCAGUGGCGAAGGCGGCUGUCUGGUCUGUAACUGACGCUGAGGCUCGAAAGUAUGGGUUAGCAAACAGGAUUAGAUACCCUGGUAGGAUAGCG
RNAcentral lists this ribosomal RNA (476 nucleotides) under uncultured bacterium. Its description in RNAcentral is "bacterial SSU rRNA". It matches the Rfam family "Bacterial small subunit ribosomal RNA", at positions 335 to 802 of the family's 1533-position model. The record is from RNAcentral.